Oreochromis niloticus (Nile tilapia) is the source of this 1345-nucleotide long non-coding RNA. RefSeq lists it as uncharacterized. The record is from RefSeq and is a predicted model, not a curated record. Lineage: Eukaryota; Metazoa; Chordata; Actinopteri; Cichliformes; Cichlidae. The transcript is spliced from 2 exons.
UAAUAAUAUUUGCAGUAAGUAAAUUUGCUGUUGUGUAUUUUUAAGCAUAUGAAAUUUGAAUUUUAUCCCUUUUCAGUGUUUUUCCUGAUGGUUUGAGUAAAGGACCAAAAUAUUGAGCUCUGCACACCAACGUAAAAGUGCGUGUAUGUGUGCGCGCGCGCGCGUGUGUGUGAGCUCGUGAGGCUCCUCCGUGACUUCCUUUGUCUUGUAAAUGAGAGCACCUUGAUGUCAGGGGUAAUCAGGAUUAGUUUCGUCACAGAUCAUCCACUCUUCAGCCGCUCUCUCUUUUCCUUUGACCCUUCUUUUGUCACCUAGUCUCUCAGACUAAAUCAGAUAUGACACUUUCAAGACAAAUUAGGGGGGAGGGGGUGUCCCAGUUAAACACAGUUGUGUAUUCGUGUACUCUCUCCGUACCUCGUCUUUUCCUAAACCAGCCGCCUCGCCGGGUCUAAUCCAGCUGUUCAAUUAGAAUUGAGGACAGUGUUGAACUGCUGUACUCCAGCCAAGGCCCGGGCUCUGUGUCAUCAGCCUGUUUUCUCAGCUUAUCUCAUGCUGAGCUGAUAAUGAGAUCUACCUGUUGCCUCCUGCUUCAUCAGCACCAUAAAUGGUGUUCGCUCUCAAAUGCAGCACGAGGUUUUUUUUAAAUGUACAUUUAUCUGAACAGCUCCACCUUAGAGUUCGCACGCUAUCAGCCGGGACGAUCAACACACCACGUCUUGUUUACCAGUUUGCCAAUUAACAGCGGCUGUCCUGAAUCCUCGUUAAUCACCCUCUGGCAUCGGGCCAUGCUUUCUUCCUCCUCAUACCCAUUUCCCAAUCCUCUCAUUAGCUUUGUCCACCUUCCUUUCUUUCUGCUUUCAUUCUUAAAUUCCUCUGUUAUAGAUGCAACCACUCUUCCUCAGGUUGGCGAGUAAAAAUGACAUCAUAAUGCAAAAAAAGGUUGAAAUAUCCCCAUUUCAAGUGUCAGUGCACCAACGUAAUGACCAGAAGCAUCUGAACUGUUUUUGGAAGCCUUACCUUUGUGUCAGUGUCUUGGAUCAGACCGAUGAUGCCUCACUGGAGGGCGUCGUUUUCGUAGAUGUGACUGCUUAGAUUGGGUUGUGAGUCCUGUAUGCAGUGGACAGUGUACAGUUUGGGUUACAGCUGAUAAAUCUGAGAAGAUAUAAAAUAGUGAAAUAGGAAAAAAAAUGAUUCAUACUUUUUCCUCAUCUUUGCCUUAUUCUAAGAUAAAGAGUGAUUUUUAUUUCAGAGUUUUCACUGCUAAUUCAAAUACACCUUCUAGCAUCAGGUCGGACUCAGAACGUUCUUAAUUAUUCAACAAGGUGUUAGACUCAUUUUCAGACAU